RNAcentral lists this ribosomal RNA (254 nucleotides) under uncultured bacterium. RNAcentral's name for it is "partial 16S ribosomal RNA". It matches the Rfam family "Bacterial small subunit ribosomal RNA", at positions 524 to 776 of the family's 1533-position model. The record is from RNAcentral.
UACAGAGACUGCAAGCGUUAUUCGGAUUCACUGGGCGUAAAGGGUGCGCAGGCGGCCAAGUGUGUUAGGCGUGAAAGCCCGGGGCUUAACCUCGGAAUUGCACCUAAAACUACAUGGCUAGAGCAUUGGAGAGGGUAGCGGAAUUCACGGUGUAGCAGUGAAAUGCGUAGAUAUCGUGAGGAACACCAGAGGCGAAGGCGGCUACCUGGACAAUUGCUGACGCUCAGGCACGAAAGCGUGGGGGAGCAAAAGGG